GCUUACGGCCAUACCACUCUGACAAAGCCCGAUCUCAUCUGACCUUGGAAGCAAAGCAAAGUUCGGCCUGGUUAAUACUUGCUUGGAUGACUGAAUGGGAAUACUAGGUGCUGUAAGCU
Molecule: ribosomal RNA, 119 nt
Organism: Ictalurus punctatus (channel catfish)
Lineage: Eukaryota; Metazoa; Chordata; Actinopteri; Siluriformes; Ictaluridae
Source: Ensembl